GCGUUCGUGGUAUAGUGGUAGAAUAUUAGCCUUCCAAGCUAAUGACCCGGGUUCGAGUCCCGGCGGACGCACCA
Molecule: transfer RNA, 74 nt
Filed under: Candidatus Bathyarchaeota archaeon
Lineage: Archaea; Thermoproteati; Candidatus Bathyarchaeota
Also listed under: 2 other names
Description: tRNA-Gly
Rfam family: tRNA
About the family: Transfer RNA (tRNA) molecules are approximately 80 nucleotides in length. Their secondary structure includes four short double-helical elements and three loops (D, anti-codon, and T loops). Further hydrogen bonds mediate the characteristic L-shaped molecular structure. tRNAs have two regions of fundamental functional importance: the anti-codon, which is responsible for specific mRNA codon recognition, and the 3' end, to which the tRNAs corresponding amino acid is attached (by aminoacyl-tRNA synthetases). tRNAs cope with the degeneracy of the genetic code in two manners: having more than one tRNA (with a specific anti-codon) for a particular amino acid; and 'wobble' base-pairing, i.e. permitting non-standard base-pairing at the 3rd anti-codon position.
Source: RNAcentral